This 1694-nucleotide ribosomal RNA is filed under the name Escherichia coli O157:H7. RNAcentral's name for it is "bacterial LSU rRNA". It matches the Rfam family "Bacterial large subunit ribosomal RNA", at positions 690 to 2367 of the family's 2925-position model. Lineage: Bacteria; Pseudomonadati; Pseudomonadota; Gammaproteobacteria; Enterobacterales; Enterobacteriaceae. The record is from RNAcentral.
GGGCGUUAAGUUGCAGGGUAUAGACCCGAAACCCGGUGAUCUAGCCAUGGGCAGGUUGAAGGUUGGGUAACACUAACUGGAGGACCGAACCGACUAAUGUUGAAAAAUUAGCGGAUGACUUGUGGCUGGGGGUGAAAGGCCAAUCAAACCGGGAGAUAGCUGGUUCUCCCCGAAAGCUAUUUAGGUAGCGCCUCGUGAAUUCAUCUCCGGGGGUAGAGCACUGUUUCGGCAAGGGGGUCAUCCCGACUUACCAACCCGAUGCAAACUGCGAAUACCGGAGAAUGUUAUCACGGGAGACACACGGCGGGUGCUAACGUCCGUCGUGAAGAGGGAAACAACCCAGACCGCCAGCUAAGGUCCCAAAGUCAUGGUUAAGUGGGAAACGAUGUGGGAAGGCCCAGACAGCCAGGAUGUUGGCUUAGAAGCAGCCAUCAUUUAAAGAAAGCGUAAUAGCUCACUGGUCGAGUCGGCCUGCGCGGAAGAUGUAACGGGGCUAAACCAUGCACCGAAGCUGCGGCAGCGACACUGUGUGUUGUUGGGUAGGGGAGCGUUCUGUAAGCCUGUGAAGGUGUGCUGUGAGGCAUGCUGGAGGUAUCAGAAGUGCGAAUGCUGACAUAAGUAACGAUAAAGCGGGUGAAAAGCCCGCUCGCCGGAAGACCAAGGGUUCCUGUCCAACGUUAAUCGGGGCAGGGUGAGUCGACCCCUAAGGCGAGGCCGAAAGGCGUAGUCGAUGGGAAACAGGUUAAUAUUCCUGUACUUGGUGUUACUGCGAAGGGGGGACGGAGAAGGCUAUGUUGGCCGGGCGACGGUUGUCCCGGUUUAAGCGUGUAGGCUGGUUUUCCAGGCAAAUCCGGAAAAUCAAGGCUGAGGCGUGAUGACGAGGCACUACGGUGCUGAAGCAACAAAUGCCCUGCUUCCAGGAAAAGCCUCUAAGCAUCAGGUAACAUCAAAUCGUACCCCAAACCGACACAGGUGGUCAGGUAGAGAAUACCAAGGCGCUUGAGAGAACUCGGGUGAAGGAACUAGGCAAAAUGGUGCCGUAACUUCGGGAGAAGGCACGCUGAUAUGUAGGUGAAGUCCCUCGCGGAUGGAGCUGAAAUCAGUCGAAGAUACCAGCUGGCUGCAACUGUUUAUUAAAAACACAGCACUGUGCAAACACGAAAGUGGACGUAUACGGUGUGACGCCUGCCCGGUGCCGGAAGGUUAAUUGAUGGGGUCAGCGCAAGCGAAGCUCUUGAUCGAAGCCCCGGUAAACGGCGGCCGUAACUAUAACGGUCCUAAGGUAGCGAAAUUCCUUGUCGGGUAAGUUCCGACCUGCACGAAUGGCGUAAUGAUGGCCAGGCUGUCUCCACCCGAGACUCAGUGAAAUUGAACUCGCUGUGAAGAUGCAGUGUACCCGCGGCAAGACGGAAAGACCCCGUGAACCUUUACUAUAGCUUGACACUGAACAUUGAGCCUUGAUGUGUAGGAUAGGUGGGAGGCUUUGAAGUGUGGACGCCAGUCUGCAUGGAGCCGACCUUGAAAUACCACCCUUUAAUGUUUGAUGUUCUAACGUGGACCCGUGAUCCGGGUUGCGGACAGUGUCUGGUGGGUAGUUUGACUGGGGCGGUCUCCUCCUAAAGAGUAACGGAGGAGCACGAAGGUUGGCUAAUCCUGGUCGGACAUCAGGAGGUUAGUGCAAUGGCAUAAGCCAG